ACCCGCUGAACUUAAGCAUAUCAAUAAGCGGAGGAAAAGAAACCAACAGGGAUUGCCCUAGUAACGGCGAGUGAAGCGGCAACAGCUCAAAUUUGAAAUCUGGCUCUUUUAGAGUCCGAGUUGUAAUUUGCAGAGGGCGCUUUGGCUUUGGCAGCGGUCCAAGUUCCUUGGAACAGGACGUCACAGAGGGUGAGAAUCCCGUACGUGGUCGCUGGCUAUUGCCGUGUAAAGCCCCUUCGACGAGUCGGGUUGUUUGGGAAUGCAGCUCUAAAUGGGAGGUACAUUUCUUCUAAAGCUAAAUAUUGGCCAGAGACCGAUAGCGCACAAGUAGAGUGAUCGAAAGAUGAAAAGCACUUUGGAAAGAGAGUCAAACAGCACGUGAAAUUGUUGAAAGGGAAGCGCUUGCAGCCAGACUUGCUUACAGUUGCUCAUCCGGGCUUUUGCCCGGUGCACUCUUCUGUAGGCAGGCCAGCAUCAGUUUGGGCGGUAGGAUAAAGGUCUCUGUCACGUACCUCUCUUCGGGGAGGCCUUAUAGGGGAGACGACAUACUACCAGCCUGGACUGAGGUCCGCGCAUCUGCUAGGAUGCUGGCGUAAUGGCUGU
This 603-nucleotide ribosomal RNA is filed under the name uncultured fungus. RNAcentral describes it as "eukaryotic LSU rRNA". It matches the Rfam family "Eukaryotic large subunit ribosomal RNA", at positions 23 to 641 of the family's 3401-position model. The record is from RNAcentral. Lineage: Eukaryota; Fungi.